GGCCAAGCAAAGAGGUGAGCAAGAAUGAUGACAUUCUGCUUACACAGUGUUAUUUCUUCCCACAGGAUUAUUCUAGGCACCUGAAUAGAACAGCCAGCCAGGAUGGCUUGUUCCUGCUCUCCUAUGCUUCUAUCAUUGGCAGUAAACUUGUGCAAACACUGGGAUCCCUGGAUACCAUGGUAAUUUCCCAGACUUUGAAAUUACCGUGGGUGGGGCCUGUCCCCAUGUCAUACUUCCCCUUUUUGAUACAAAGCAUGGAAUAGGAAGGAAAACAGGGUUCCACAGAACUUAUGUAGAGAAA
Molecule: long non-coding RNA, 301 nt
Filed under: Homo sapiens (human)
Lineage: Eukaryota; Metazoa; Chordata; Mammalia; Primates; Hominidae
Description: HSALNT0296432
Source: RNAcentral